This 510-nucleotide ribosomal RNA is filed under the name uncultured bacterium. Its description in RNAcentral is "partial 16S ribosomal RNA". It matches the Rfam family "Bacterial small subunit ribosomal RNA", at positions 28 to 507 of the family's 1533-position model. The record is from RNAcentral.
GACGAACGCUGGCGGCGUGCUUAACACAUGCAAGUCGAACGAAGAGCGAUGGAAGCUUGCUUCUAUCACUCUUAGUGGCGAACGGGUGAGUAACGCGUAAUCAACCUGCCCUUCAGAGGGGGACAACAGUUGGAAACGACUGCUAAUACCGCAUACGAUCUAACCUCGGCAUCGAGGAAAGAUGAAAGGUGGCCUCUAUGUAUAAGCUAUCACUGAAGGAGGGGAUUGCGUCUGAUUAGCUAGUUGGAGGGGUAACGGCCCACCAAGGCGAUGAUCAGUAGCCGGUCUGAGAGGAUGAACGGCCACAUUGGGACUGAGACACGGCCCAGACUCCUACGGGAGGCAGCAGUGGGGAAUCUUCCGCAAUGGACGAAAGUCUGACGGAGCAACGCCGCGUGAGUGAUGACGGCCUUCGGGUUGUAAAGCUCUGUUAAUCGGGACGAAAGGCCUUCUUGCGAAUAGUGAGAAGGAUUGACGGUACCGGAAUAGAAAGCCACGGCUAACUACGUG